Molecule: ribosomal RNA, 253 nt
Filed under: uncultured Sphaerobacter sp.
Lineage: Bacteria; Pseudomonadati; Thermomicrobiota; Thermomicrobia; Sphaerobacterales; Sphaerobacteraceae
Description: partial 16S ribosomal RNA
Rfam family: Bacterial small subunit ribosomal RNA
Source: RNAcentral
GACGUAGGGUGCAAGCGUUGUCCGGAGUUACUGGGCGUAAAGGGCGCGUAGGCGGCGCGUCAUGUCGCACGUGAAAGCCCCCGGCUCAACCGAGGAGGGUCGUGCGAAACGGGCGUGCUGGAGGCAGGGAGAGGCGAGUGGAAUUCCCGGUGUAGUGGUGAAAUGCGUAGAUAUCGGGAGGAACACCAGAGGCGAAGGCGGUUCGCUGGCCCUGACCUGACGCUGAGGCGCGAAGGCGUGGGGAGCGAACGGG